This 392-nucleotide RNase P RNA is filed under the name Bordetella sp. Its description in RNAcentral is "RNase P RNA component class A". It matches the Rfam family "Bacterial RNase P class A". Rfam says of the family: Ribonuclease P (RNase P) is a ubiquitous endoribonuclease, found in archaea, bacteria and eukarya as well as chloroplasts and mitochondria. Its best characterised activity is the generation of mature 5'-ends of tRNAs by cleaving the 5'-leader elements of precursor-tRNAs. Lineage: Bacteria; Pseudomonadati; Pseudomonadota; Betaproteobacteria; Burkholderiales; Alcaligenaceae. The record is from RNAcentral.
CCAGACGGCCGGGCGGUCGCGGCGGGAGCUUGCUCUCGUCGAGGAAAGUCCGGGCUCCACGGUGAAAAGGCGGCGGGUAACGCCCGCCCGGGGUGACCCGAGGGAUAGCGCCACAGAAAGCAAACCGCCUGGGCUUCGGCUCAGGGAAGGGUGAAAGGGUGGGGUAAGAGCCCACCGCGUCGGCGGCAACGUCGACGGCAUGGCAAGCCCCGCCUGGAGCAAGACCAAAUAGGGACGUCGCGCGGCCUCGGCCGCAGGGCUCACCGCCCCAGGCGUCCGGGUAGGUCGCGAGAGCCGUCCAGCAAUGGGCGGCCCAGAGGAAUGAUCGUCGCCGCUCCCAUGCUUCGGCAUCGGGGGCGGAACAGAACCCGGCUUACAGGCCGUCUGGCGUU